AUGGUUUCAUGUUUCCACUUUUCUUCGUAUCCCACUGUCCCACUGCAUCCCAAGUUGCUACUUGUUUGAUAGGCUCAUUUUUUUUUCCUUUUUUUUUUUUUUUUCCUUUUAUGAAUCUGGUGGUGUCAUUUUCAUUUUUACGCUGGAAGCCUGUUUCACUGCGUUUCUGGCAAACCCCAUUGGUUAAACUUGUUUUACCACAUCAUGAUCUUUUUUAUAGCUCACAUCUGCCAGGAAAAGUUUGUCAUUCAUCAUCUUCCUUUCUGCUGUGUUCAUUUUCAGCUGUGCAUGAAAUGUGCUUGUAUUUCCAAAGCAAUGCAAAGCUUUCUGCUCCGGGGCCAGGGUGGAAGGAAUAGGCAGUGGGCAGUCUCUGCGCCAUGGCAUGUAAGUUGUGCUCAGAAGUGGGGAAGAAGAGAAAAAAAUGAUCCUGAGCAUAAACAAAGUAGGCUGUGGGACUCGGACUCCCCUUCCCAGCGGCAUCCCUUCAAGAGACUACUGCCCCAGGCAACUCCAGCUUUGCCUGUGUCUACAGCUGGCUCGUUCCCGGUGGAGAGGAGCUUUCCCCAGAAGCAGUCCCAUGGUGUAUGCAACAUUUCAGGGCUGCAUGCUUCCUCCAUUUUCGUAUUACUCAUCCUGUUACGGGUGAGAGUCGUGUUGAUGCCAGCAACCGUGUUUAAACAUGGGACAGCACUGAAGUACAGCUGUGUUUUGGUCACUGGGUUUCUAUACCUACCUUGCAUGAAAAGAAAAGCUGGACUGUGCCAAGCUGGUGUGCCUUGUCCCAGUACCGUGAGGACGCAGCCCUGCCCAACCAAGCACCGGGCAGCAGGACUAUGGGCUCAGAGGAUACGAGGAGGUCUCACACCACCACUCGGUCACCACCACCACUUCCCUUGGGCUGGGGUUGGAGAGGGCCAAGCUCUGCUCCUAGCAGCUCUCACAGGAGACUUGGCUGCCUCACCGUGCUCCUCCUCUGGCCCAGCUUUCCGAGGAAGAACACCCACUUCUGAGGGCUUUCUCUGUCUUCCUGCUGGAAGCUGAUGAAACACCCAGUCUUCCCGUAUAAAACAUUUCCAAGGUGCUGCCUCCGUGGGGCUCAGCAGGCUGCCACUCUGUGCCCCAUUCAUGGUGCAGCAGUGGCCGGAUCUGCACACUGAGUAAGCUGAGUUCCCGCAUGUUAGGGGGUGGGGGUCCCAGGGGCUGCUGGUGCCCGCACAGUGGGCAGUGCACAGCUCCCCUCUCCCAUGUCAGCACUGAUGGCUGAAGCAACAAGAGUCUCAGUGGAUGAUGAGGCCAAAAGAGGAGUCUUUUCUGUCUCAACAACCAUUGCAUUUUUCUUUGCACUCCUGUCAUGUGAAGACCAGGUCUUCAUUUUGGCAAUACAAUUUGAAGAGAAUGAGUUCAUCUGCUCUUUGUUGGGGUCUGUAGACCUUAGUGCUUCACAUUAGGUCUAGCAUCUGUUUAUGUUACUCCUGUUUCUUCUGCAGCUGGGUGUCACUGGGCUGUCAGGCUUCUUUGCACAUCUUUCUCUUCCCUUAAACUUCUGUUAAAUUUAGGUUUUGCUUGGCAACACACUCUUAAAGUUUUUUAAAGCUUCUGAUUAUACUUUUAUCCUUCUUUUCUUCAGAUUCAGCGAGGACCUGUGCAGACCCUGGACCUCUUCUCUGUCAAGAAAUUGUUUUUUCCUGUGAAAUGCUACAGGUGCUAAAGACAACUCAAACAGCAUUGCAGGAAGGAGUCCCCAAAGGGGUCCUGAGCGUGAGUGAAAGGGACACUGUGGACAUGUGCAGCACAGGAACAUGUUUGCCAUUAGCCCUAUUUCCAAGAGUAUCUCUGUAGGCAAUAGGAAAUGUUCAUUUUUCACAUCUCCACAGAAACAUCUGUACAUAAAGAUGAGGGGCCUGUGUCUCCUCCUUCAGACCUGCUCUGUUGGGAGCUUUCCCACAUCGUGGAGUUUCCUACAUCCUCCUUGGGGUACUCUCCUGUCCUUCUGAAGAGUGUCCUGCAUGCACUUGCUAGAAGUCCAUAGUUGCCAUAUCUUCUGAGAUUUAACAUUCUAAUUUCCAUAUUGCUUUUUUUUUUUUUCUCCCUAAUACUGCUGGGGUUGGGCACACACUGCACACUGACUUGUGUACUCACAAUCACUAAUGCUUUUUUUUCCUCCCUAGGCUGAAUCCGUCCUCACACUGCAGCACAACAGCAGCGCUCGCUACCAGGAGGACCAGAGCUGACACUGCUGCUGAUACAUUUUGUUUUUCCCUUUCUACCUCCAUUGGCUACCACUGCACGUGCCCUCACCUGUAUCAUUCACCACAGAGCGGACAGCGUUACAUGCUGUUUUCUGCGGUCUCCAGCAUUCACUUCGUGGUACCUUCCUGACUUGGGACUUCUUUCUUGCAGUAGUUUGUAUGAAACAUCUCACAGUGCUGCUUUCCAGGAACUCCAUUCUGGACAGGAUUAAUUCCUUUGUGUGGCAAAUUUUAAUUGUUCUAUCAAGGUGUUUUUUUCUUUCUUUUUUUUUUUUUUGAGUUUUCCAACCCCUUCCCCUGGUGUUUUGUCCCAAAUCCCAGCCAUAAUAUAUUCUCUCUAAUGAGAGAACAUAAUUGUAAGAUCGGUACUUCAACCUUCUAUUACUCACAGGCUCUUUUAUAGUUUCAUCCUGAGUUUGUACCAAGGUUGUUUUUUUUUUUUCCUAUUGAAAAAUAAGAGGUUGACGUAUUUCAUCUUUCUUGGAGGACCACUGUUCUUGCAUUGUUUUACUACCGUUUUGUACUCCUCUGCUGGAGUUAAGGAAAAGCCACAAAAAGGUGCUGGUUCCCCAAAUCAGCCAUUGUUAAGAAAGAGGGCAGCUGCUGACUCUUUUUAUUCACUAGAAGUGUCAAUAAAUGCUUUCAGUCAUUGUAUGUGUUUCUGAAG
Anser cygnoides (Swan goose) is the source of this 2916-nucleotide long non-coding RNA. NCBI's taxonomy places the organism in Eukaryota, Metazoa, Chordata, Aves, Anseriformes, Anatidae. The record is from Ensembl.